RNAcentral lists this long non-coding RNA (5520 nucleotides) under Glycine max (soybean). Its description in RNAcentral is "long non-coding RNA (GMAX_LNC004380)". The record is from RNAcentral. Lineage: Eukaryota; Viridiplantae; Streptophyta; Magnoliopsida; Fabales; Fabaceae.
UCGUCAGUUGCAGGUCUCUUUUCAUAAACUUGUCAUCGCCACAAAGACAACUGACAGCGAGUGCGAGUAGUGUGAGAGCUUCAGAUGAGCGAGUUGACGGCGAGAAGAGGAAGGAGUUGGAGUGUCGCAAAAGUGAGAGUGUGGGCCUCAAGAGGAAGGAGGUAGAGCACCAUAGAAGUGAGAGUGUGUUAGGCUUCGAGAGUGGGGGAAAGGAGGACGCGAGAGAGAGUAAAAGAGAGAGAUGAUUGCCUUAGUUUCGAGGAUAAGGCACCUCCUAGGGACUGGUUACGGGAGUAAGAUUUUUCCUUCUUGUAUUAUUCGUACUCAAGUAGGCUUAUAUACACAGAGUUAUUACAUGUAUAACGGUCGUAAUCGUGCUAACUGUUUCUUAAUAGAAUAACUACUCCCUAACAACACUAAUAUCUUGCAUGUGCGUUUUAUUCUGCUAACUACUAACUACAAGUGUUAUGUGGUUACGUAAUCGUGCAAGUACUUUGGUGUGAUGAUUUCUCUUCUGGGUCUGGGUGCUUCGAAUUCGUGCACGAUGCUGCUAUCAAUACUCCCAUCCCCGAACACCACCUUGUCCUCAAGGUGGUAGGCGCCACGUAACUCCGGCCAGGGUUCCCAAGUAGUAUCCUCUGGUGGUUGUCCCACCCAUUGAGUAAGGACCAAAUGAGUUAGAGGGGAGGUAGAGUUAUCAAGUUUAGAGUCCAGAAAGCAAAAGGGUCGUGGUACUGGCUUGUGAUCGACAACCUGUAAAGGCCAGGUAUCCAAUGACAAAGGUGGAGGGCCGUGGUGAGCACGUAAAAGCGAACAAUGGAAGACUGGAUGGAUACGUGCAUUGUCUGGUAGCUGAAGGCGAUACGCGACUUGGUCUAUGCAAGCCGUGAUUUAGAAAGGUCCGAAGAAACACUUCGAAAGCUUUGGAUGGGUGGUUCCUGUUAUUGAUUGUUGACAGAAGGGCUUGAGUUUGACAUAAACCCAUUGUCCCACUGCAUAGGUUAUAUCAUCGUGCUUAGUGCCUGCUUGUUGUUUCAUGGCAGCCUGGGCUUUCAUCAAUCUUUGCUGAAGCUUGGUUUGGAUCUCCUGGCGGGAGCUUACCAGAGUUUCAACCGCCUCGUUGUUGGUCAUCCCAGGGAUAUAGUGGGGUAGCGCCAACGGUGGUUUGCCGUAAAUCACUUCAAAAUGAGUGAAUCCUGAAUUGGUGUGGAGCGACAUGUUAUAUGACCAUUCUGUUAGGGCUAGGUAUCGGAACCAAUUUGUCAGUUGAGAAUGAACGAAAGAACGUAGGUAUUGUUCUAGAACACGGUUCAUAACCUCAGUUUGGCCGUCGAUCUGCGGAUGGUAGGCCGUACUCAUGCGGAGGAAGGUGCCACUGAGUUGAAAAAGCUCUCGCCAGAAUGAGCUUAAGAAUACGGGGUCCCUAUCGGAGACGAUGCUGUGAGGGAAGCCAUGAUGUUUGCAGACCAAGUCCAGAAAUAGAGUUACGACCUUGAAAGCGGAGAAGUGUGUGGGUAGUGUGCCCAAGUGAACACCUUUUGAGUAACGAUCAACAAUAACGAGAAUGACGGUGAACCCGUGAGAUGGUGGCAAAUGGAUGACAAAAUCCAUGGAUAUAUCUUCCCAUAUCCCUGCCAGAAUUGGUAACGGCUGCAGAAGACCUGUUGGCCAGCGAGUGCUUGAUUUUUUUUGUUGACAAAUCUUGCAUUCUCGAAUGAAGCAUUUAACAUCAUCCUUGAGGCCGUGCCAGAAGAAGCUCGACUCAAGUCGAUGAGUAGUCUUCGCAACGCCCAUGUGGCCGUCCAACGGUGUAGCAGGAUUCUCGAGCAAGAUAGUGGAAAUGUAGGGAUUAGUCUUAUGUAUCCAGAUGUGCCCUUGAAAGAAUAAUAACCCAUUGUGGAUUUGAUAGUCAAUGUGGGAUGCAGGGUUGGCUCGAACCUUGGACAGUAGAGCCUGGAAUUCGGGUUCAGCAUGUAACGUUCGUCGGAGAUCCUCGAUGAAAUCCAAGUGGGGAACUGAAAGUAAGAGCAGCUGGCCUGAGGUAGAAGGCAAUCGAGAUAGUGCGUCUGCGACGAUAUUAGACGCAUCGGCCUUGUAACGAAUAGUGUAAUCGAACCCAAGUAACUUAAAGAGGUAAUAGUGUUGCUCGAGGGUUUGAAUCACUUGCGUCAUGAGUUCCUGGAGGCUCUUGUGAUCUGUCAGUAUGGUGAAAGAUCGCCCUAGGAGAUAUUGACGCCAUUUUCGCACUGCGGUCACGAUGGCAUGGAGUUUCCUUAUGUAUGUUGAAGCAUGAGUCAACCGAGGGCCAAAGACUUUGUUGAAGAAAGCUAUUGGAUGAUCCUUCUGCAUCGAAACAGCUCCCAUGGCGGUUCGCGAUGCGUCUGUCUCGAUGACAAAUGGUUCUGAGAAGUUGGGAAGAGCAAGAACGGGUGCGCGAGUCAUUGCCAUUUUUAGUUGGUCGAAAGCUGCCUGAGAAUCUUCAGUCCAUUCGAACGCAUCUUUACACAAUAGUGUAGUAAGAGGUGUUGUUAUGGAGGCAUAAUUUCUUAUAAACUUGGGAUAGAAUCCAGUAAGGCCCAAAAAACCCCUGAGUUCCUUAACUGAGGUUGGUGUAGGCCAUUGUACCAUGGCCUGAACCUUGGAGGGUUCUGGUUCGACUCCUCUGCCGGAAACCACGUGUCCCAAAUAUUCUACCUGAUUUCGUGCGAAGAUACACUUUGUGUGCUUUGGGUAAAACUGCCCUUGUAACAGUGCUUGAAAGAUCAUUUCUAGAUGCUGAAUGUGGGAUGAUAAGGACUUGCUAUAUACCAAAAUAUCAUCGAAAAAUACUGUGGCAAAGCAUUUCAGGAAUGGUGUGAGCAAGUUGUUCAUGGCGGCUUGAAAGGUGGAGGGUGCGUUGCUCAAGCCGAAGGGCAUAACGCCAUACUCAUAGUGCCCUUGAUGCGUUCUAAAGGCUAUUUUCUCGAUAUCGGGCUCAUGCAUAAGGAUCUGAUGGAAUCCUUUCCUUAGGUCGAGCUUGGAAAACCAUGACGCCUGACUGAGUUCAUCCAGCAACUCGUCAAUGGUAGGUAUCAAAAAAUGGUCACGUAUGAUAACUACAUUUAGUGCGUGAUAGUCAACGCACAUCUGCCAAGUGUCGUCCUUCUUCUUUACCAGAAGAACUGGGGAGGAGUACGAGCUCGUGCUUGGUCGUAUCAGGUCGGCGGAAAGGAGAUCGGAGACCUGCCUUUCUAUCUCAGUUUUUUGGAAGUACGGGUACCUGUAGGGUCGUACGUUUACCAGGGAAGUCGAAGGAAGGAGAUUAAUGCGAUGGGUUACUUCUCUCGGGGGGGGGGGGGGGAGAGUGGGUGGUGUCUGGAAUAUAUGUUGGUAAUGGUGGAGUAAGGAUUCUAUAGCGGGAACUGGGUGAGGAAGAUGAUGAUGUGGUGGGUCGAGGCGGCUUGUGGGUAAAAGGCUUAAGUGGAAUAACGCUGAUGUAGACCCGGUCCGAAUGAGAUGUUUAACUUGAGGCGCUGAAACUGGUUCUGGCCCGUUCUUGACGUCCGCGCGAAGCUCUAUUGCUUGGCCCAAAUGAUUAAACUUCAUAAUAAAUGAGGUGUAAUCAGUUAUCACUGGCCCAAAUUGUUUUAGCCAUUCAAUACCCAAAACGGCAUCAGCUCCACUUAUCGGAAGCAGAUGGAAGGUGACAUUGAAAUGAUGACCUUAGAGUGAUAGCGAGGUAUCUGGGCAAAGUUGGUUGUAGUCAAGUACGGAGCCAUUACCAACUAGUACAUGUAGUGGUGGGGUGGACUGUACCGGAAGGUGGAGGAAUUGGGCUAUGCGGGGCUGGAGGAAAUUGUGUGUGCUGCCACUAUCAAUGAGUAUGGUGAGGCGUGCGUGGUUGAUUACUCCAAAGAGACGAAAUGUUUCAGAUGAAGGAAAACCUGAUAGAGCGUGUAAACUGAUGUGAGGAUAUGUAUUAUCAGUUAUGGGCUCCGAGACGUCGUUGGGCUCUGCUUCCUGGGUUGUGGAUGUUUUUGGGCUUAGGUCGUCAAUCUCGAAUGAGGGGCUAUCCGCGAUGAACAGAAGUACUCGACCCUUACAACGAUGAGUAGCACUCCAUUUCUCGUCGCAGUUAUAACAAAGUCCUUUUUCUUUGUGAAAAGCGAUUUCUUCUGUGGUUCGUUGAACAAAUGGAGGUUUUGAUUUUGAGCUGGGAUGAUUAGUGUGGUUUGGCGGACGGGGAAAAUUGUUAGGGCAAUUGGAAGACUGGCGUCGAUCUUUCAGCUUGUCUUCUUGAAGUUUUGCAAGCGUAGUUUCCUGGGGAAGAGAGAUGGGUUGAAUUGCUAAAACUUCUCGACGUAUCUCCGGUGACAAUCCAGAGAUGAAACAACUUAACAUGAACGGCGGAGGCAACCCUAUUACUCGAUUGGCUAAUCGUUCAAACUCAGUUAGAUAUUCGUUAACUGUUCCACGUUGUGACAAUUUGAAAAGUGCUCCUUUUGGAUCUUCAUAAAAUGAUGGUGCUAACCUGGAUUCGAGAGCCUGUAGGAGCCCGGACCAAGAAGUGAUGAAUCCAUUGCAGAACAUCCAUUGAUACCAGCUUAGGGCUGCACCGUCAAGAUAAAAAGAAGCCACCAUGAUCCUUUCUUCUUCCGACGUGUUCUAGUAGUCAAACAAUUGAGUGAUUUUGAAGAUCCAUCCUAGCGGGUCGCGUCCAUCGAACCUAGGAAUAUCGAGCUUGACAUGAUUCCUUUGGCUGAACUGAGCAUUUGGACUGGAGUGGCUAGGGUUUGCGUCUCGAAGACGAAGAUGAUCCAAGAUCGAAUCAACUUUCCCUGAGAACUCAUUGUACUUGUCGAUGAGGGAGGCUUGGCUAUUGGACAGACGAGCAAUGGCGUCUUCCAGUCUAUCCGUCGUCGUCUUCCUGGUCGCGUGGUCAGCCAUGGCAAUGGCAGCGACAGGUCAGACCAAAUGUUAGGCUUCGAGAGUGGGGGAGAGGAGGACGCGAGAGAGAGAGAAAGAAAGAGAGAGAGAGUAAAAGAGAGGGAUGAUUGCCUUAGCUUCAAGGAUAAAGCACCUCCUAGGGACUGGUUACGGGAGUAAGCUUUUUCCUUCUUGUAUUAUUCGUACUCAAGUAGGCUUAUAUACACAGAGUUAUUACAUGUAUAACGGCCGUAAUCGUGCUAACUGUUUCUUAACAGAAUAACUACUCCCUAACAGCACUAAUAUCCUGCACGUGCGUUUUAUCCUGCUAACUACUAAUUACAUGUGUUAUGUGGUUACGUAAUCGUGCAAGUACUUUGGUGUGAUGAUUUCUCUUCUGGGUCUAGGUGCUUCAGAUUCGUGCACAGUGCUGCUAUCAGAGUGUGGCUGAGAAGAUAGAGGAGUUGCAGUGCCGUGUAAGUGAGAGGCUUAAACUGAGAGUAGGAGUGAGAGUGAGUGCGAGAAGAGGGCAUUUAUAUAUAAAAAAUGUUAAGAUCUCCAUGUUAAUGUUAGUUUUACAAAAAUCGAUGUUAAUAUGACUUUCGUUAAUAUCGG